RNAcentral lists this ribosomal RNA (2404 nucleotides) under Staphylococcus aureus. RNAcentral's name for it is "partial 23S ribosomal RNA". It matches the Rfam family "Bacterial large subunit ribosomal RNA", at positions 494 to 2904 of the family's 2925-position model. Lineage: Bacteria; Bacillati; Bacillota; Bacilli; Caryophanales; Staphylococcaceae. The record is from RNAcentral.
ACCAGUACCGUGAGGGAAAGGUGAAAAGCACCCCGGAAGGGGAGUGAAAUAGAACCUGAAACCGUGUGCUUACAAGUAGUCAGAGCCCGUUAAUGGGUGAUGGCGUGCCUUUUGUAGAAUGAACCGGCGAGUUACGAUUUGAUGCAAGGUUAAGCAGUAAAUGUGGAGCCGUAGCGAAAGCGAGUCUGAAUAGGGCGUUUAGUAUUUGGUCGUAGACCCGAAACCAGGUGAUCUACCCUUGGUCAGGUUGAAGUUCAGGUAACACUGAAUGGAGGACCGAACCGACUUACGUUGAAAAGUGAGCGGAUGAACUGAGGGUAGCGGAGAAAUUCCAAUCGAACCUGGAGAUAGCUGGUUCUCUCCGAAAUAGCUUUAGGGCUAGCCUCAAGUGAUGAUUAUUGGAGGUAGAGCACUGUUUGGACGAGGGGCCCCUCUCGGGUUACCGAAUUCAGACAAACUCCGAAUGCCAAUUAAUUUAACUUGGGAGUCAGAACAUGGGUGAUAAGGUCCGUGUUCGAAAGGGAAACAGCCCAGACCACCAGCUAAGGUCCCAAAAUAUAUGUUAAGUGGAAAAGGAUGUGGCGUUGCCCAGACAACUAGGAUGUUGGCUUAGAAGCAGCCAUCAUUUAAAGAGUGCGUAAUAGCUCACUAGUCGAGUGACACUGCGCCGAAAAUGUACCGGGGCUAAACAUAUUACCGAAGCUGUGGAUUGUCCUUUGGACAAUGGUAGGAGAGCGUUCUAAGGGCGUUGAAGCAUGAUCGUAAGGACAUGUGGAGCGCUUAGAAGUGAGAAUGCCGGUGUGAGUAGCGAAAGACGGGUGAGAAUCCCGUCCACCGAUUGACUAAGGUUUCCAGAGGAAGGCUCGUCCGCUCUGGGUUAGUCGGGUCCUAAGCUGAGGCCGACAGGCGUAGGCGAUGGAUAACAGGUUGAUAUUCCUGUACCACCUAUAAUCGUUUUAAUCGAUGGGGGGACGCAGUAGGAUAGGCGAAGCGUGCGAUUGGAUUGCACGUCUAAGCAGUAAGGCUGAGUAUUAGGCAAAUCCGGUACUCAUUAAGGCUGAGCUGUGAUGGGGAGAAGACAUUGUGUCUUCGAGUCGUUGAUUUCACACUGCCGAGAAAAGCCUCUAGAUAGAAAAUAGGUGCCCGUACCGCAAACCGACACAGGUAGUCAAGAUGAGAAUUCUAAGGUGAGCGAGCGAACUCUCGUUAAGGAACUCGGCAAAAUGACCCCGUAACUUCGGGAGAAGGGGUGCUCUUUAGGGUUAACGCCCAGAAGAGCCGCAGUGAAUAGGCCCAAGCGACUGUUUAUCAAAAACACAGGUCUCUGCUAAACCGUAAGGUGAUGUAUAGGGGCUGACGCCUGCCCGGUGCUGGAAGGUUAAGAGGAGUGGUUAGCUUCUGCGAAGCUACGAAUCGAAGCCCCAGUAAACGGCGGCCGUAACUAUAACGGUCCUAAGGUAGCGAAAUUCCUUGUCGGGUAAGUUCCGACCCGCACGAAAGGCGUAACGAUUUGGGCACUGUCUCAACGAGAGACUCGGUGAAAUCAUAGUACCUGUGAAGAUGCAGGUUACCCGCGACAGGACGGAAAGACCCCGUGGAGCUUUACUGUAGCCUGAUAUUGAAAUUCGGCACAGCUUGUACAGGAUAGGUAGGAGCCUUUGAAACGUGAGCGCUAGCUUACGUGGAGGCGCUGGUGGGAUACUACCCUAGCUGUGUUGGCUUUCUAACCCGCACCACUUAUCGUGGUGGGAGACAGUGUCAGGCGGGCAGUUUGACUGGGGCGGUCGCCUCCUAAAAGGUAACGGAGGCGCUCAAAGGUUCCCUCAGAAUGGUUGGAAAUCAUUCAUAGAGUGUAAAGGCAUAAGGGAGCUUGACUGCGAGACCUACAAGUCGAGCAGGGUCGAAAGACGGACUUAGUGAUCCGGUGGUUCCGCAUGGAAGGGCCAUCGCUCAACGGAUAAAAGCUACCCCGGGGAUAACAGGCUUAUCUCCCCCAAGAGUUCACAUCGACGGGGAGGUUUGGCACCUCGAUGUCGGCUCAUCGCAUCCUGGGGCUGUAGUCGGUCCCAAGGGUUGGGCUGUUCGCCCAUUAAAGCGGUACGCGAGCUGGGUUCAGAACGUCGUGAGACAGUUCGGUCCCUAUCCGUCGUGGGCGUAGGAAAUUUGAGAGGAGCUGUCCUUAGUACGAGAGGACCGGGAUGGACAUACCUCUGGUGUACCAGUUGUCGUGCCAACGGCAUAGCUGGGUAGCUAUGUGUGGACGGGAUAAGUGCUGAAAGCAUCUAAGCAUGAAGCCCCCCUCAAGAUGAGAUUUCCCAACUUCGGUUAUAAGAUCCCUCAAAGAUGAUGAGGUUAAUAGGUUCGAGGUGGAAGCAUGGUGACAUGUGGAGCUGACGAAUACUAA